AACGCGAAGAACCUUACCUACUCUUGACAUCCAGAGAACUUAGCAGAGAUGCUUUGGUGCCUUCGGGAACUCUGAGACAGGUGCUGCAUGGCUGCCGUCAGCUCGUGUUGUGAAAUGUUGGGUUAAGUCCCGCAACGAGCGCAACCCUUAUCCUUUGUUGCCAGCGGUCCGGCCGGGAACUCAAAGGAGACUGCCAGUGAUAAACUGGAGGAAGGUGGGGAUGACGUCAAGUCAUCAUGGCCCUUACGAGUAGGGCUACACACGUGCUACAAUGGCAUAUACAAAGAGAAGCGACCUCGCGGGAGCAAGCGGACCUCAUAAAGUAUGUCGUAGUCCGGAUUGGAGUCUGCAACUCGACUCCAUGAAGUCGGAAUCGCUAGUAAUCGUAGAUCAGAAUGCUACGGUGAAUAUGUUCCCGGGUCUUGUACACACCG
This 434-nucleotide ribosomal RNA is filed under the name uncultured bacterium. RNAcentral's name for it is "bacterial SSU rRNA". It matches the Rfam family "Bacterial small subunit ribosomal RNA", at positions 958 to 1392 of the family's 1533-position model. The record is from RNAcentral.